CCUACGGGAGGCAGCAGUGGGGAAUAUUGGGCAAUGGGCGCAAGCCUGACCCAGCAACGCCGCGUGAAGGGAGAAGGCUUUCGGGUUGUAAACUUCUUUUAUCAGGGACGAAGCAAGUGACGGUACCUGAUGAAUAAGCCACGGCUAACUACGUGCCAGCAGCCGCGGUAAUACGUAGGUGGCAAGCGUUAUCCGGAUUUACUGGGUGUAAAGGGCGUGUAGGCGGGAGUGCAAGUCAGAUGUGAAAACUAUGGGCUCAACCCAUAGCCUGCAUUUGAAACUGUACUUCUUGAGUGCUGGAGAGGCAAUCGGAAUUCCGGGGGGAGAGGUGAAAGUCGUAGAUAUACGGAGGAACACCAGUGGCGAAGGCGGAUUGCUGGACAGUAACUGACGCUGAUGCUCGAAAGUGUGGGUAUCAAACAGGAUUAGAUACCCCAGUAGUC
RNAcentral lists this ribosomal RNA (443 nucleotides) under uncultured bacterium. RNAcentral describes it as "partial 16S ribosomal RNA". It matches the Rfam family "Bacterial small subunit ribosomal RNA", at positions 338 to 795 of the family's 1533-position model. The record is from RNAcentral.